Molecule: small nucleolar RNA, 80 nt
Organism: Sciurus vulgaris (Eurasian red squirrel)
Lineage: Eukaryota; Metazoa; Chordata; Mammalia; Rodentia; Sciuridae
Source: Ensembl
AUGGUUAUAUGAUGAAUAAAAUCAUUCACCAACUAUCAGAUGAGUUCAUGAUGGAUUUGCUUUUAUCUUAUUAGGAUCAU